RNAcentral lists this signal recognition particle RNA (282 nucleotides) under Catagonus wagneri (Chacoan peccary). Its description in RNAcentral is "Metazoan signal recognition particle RNA (ENSCWAG00000016638.1)". It matches the Rfam family "Metazoan signal recognition particle RNA". From Rfam's summary of the family: The signal recognition particle (SRP) is a universally conserved ribonucleoprotein. Lineage: Eukaryota; Metazoa; Chordata; Mammalia; Artiodactyla; Tayassuidae. The record is from Rfam by way of RNAcentral.
GCCGGGCGCGGUGGCGCGCACCUGUAGUCCCAGCUACUCGGGAGGCUGAGGCUGGAGGAUCGCUUGAGCCCAGGAGUUCUGGGCUGCAGUGCGCUAUGCCGAUCGGGUGUCUGCACUAAGUUCAGCAUCAAUAUGGUGACCCUCCGGGAGCGGGGGACCACCAGGUUGCCUAAGGAGGGGUGAACCAGCCCAGGUCGGAAACGGAGCAGGUCAAAAUGCUCACCCAAUUAAGAGUUUACCUAUAACGUGUCUACAUUUUUUUGAAGACAUUCCAAACCUUAA